This 1222-nucleotide ribosomal RNA is filed under the name metagenome. RNAcentral describes it as "bacterial LSU rRNA". It matches the Rfam family "Bacterial large subunit ribosomal RNA", at positions 1564 to 2800 of the family's 2925-position model. The record is from RNAcentral.
UGAAUACGAGAUGCUAAGGCGUCGAAGUAGUGUAUGUCAUACUUCCAAAAAGCUUGCACUGUCAUAAAUAAAAAUGCCUGUACCAUAACCGACACAGGUGGGUAAGUAGAGUAUACUAAGGGGCGCGAGAUAACUCUCUCUAAGGAACUCGGCAAAAUGACUCCGUAACUUCGGGAGAAGGAGUGCCUUAUUCUUAAGGUUGCAAUAACAAGAUCCAAGCAACUGUUUAUCAAAAACACAGGUCUCCGCUAAGUCGUAAGACGAUGUAUGGGGGCUGACGCCUGCCCAGUGCCAGAAGGUUAAAGAAGUCGGUUAGCAAUCGCGAAGCUGGUAACUGAAGCCCUGGUGAACGGCGGCCGUAACAAUAACGGUCCUAAGGUAGCGAAAUUCCUUGUCGGGUAAGUUCCGACCCGCACGAAAGGCGUAAUGAUUUGGAUGCUGUCUCGGAGAGAGGCUCGGUGAAAUAGACUUGUCUGUGAAGAUGCGGACUACCUGCACCAGGACAGAAAGACCCUAUGAAGCUUUACUGUAACUUGAAAUUGAAAUUGGACUUUAUUCGCGCAGUAUAGGUGGGAGGCGUUGAUUAUAAUCUUGCGGGAUUAUUGGAGCCAUCAGUGAGAUACCACUCUUGUAAUGUUAGAUUUCUAACUUUGAAUCAUUAUCUGGUCAAAGGACAAUUUCAGGCGGGCAGUUUGACUGGGGCGGUCGCCUCCUAAAUGGUAACGGAGGCGUACAAAGGUUUCCUCUGAACGGUUAGAAAUCGUAUCUAGAGUGUAAAGGCAUAAGGAAGCUUGACUGUGAGACCUACAAGUCGAGCAGGGACGAAAGUCGGUCUUAGUGAUCUGACGGUACUGAGUGGAAAGGCCGUCACUCAACGGAUAAAAGUUACUCUAGGAUAACAGGCUGAUCUCCCCCAAGAGUUCACAUCGACGGGGAGGUUUGGCACCUCGAUGUCGGCUCAUCCAUCCUGGGGCGGUAGUACGUCCCAAGGGUUGGGCUGUUCGCCCAUGAAAGCGGUACGCGAGCUGGGUUCAGAACGUCGUGAGACAGUUCGGUCCAUAUCCGGUGUAGGCGUUAGAAUAUUGAGAGGAGCCUUCUUUAGUACGAGAGGACCGAGAAGGACAUACCUCUGGUGUACCAGUUAUCGUGCCAACGGUAAACGCUGGGUAGCUAUGUAUGGAGUGGAUAACCGCUGAAAGCAUCUAAGUGGGAAGCCCACCUC